This 77-nucleotide transfer RNA is filed under the name Vibrio lentus. Its description in RNAcentral is "tRNA-Arg". Lineage: Bacteria; Pseudomonadati; Pseudomonadota; Gammaproteobacteria; Vibrionales; Vibrionaceae. The record is from RNAcentral.
GCGCCCUUAGCUCAGCUGGAUAGAGCACCUCCCUUCUAAGGAGGUGGUCGAAGGUUCUUAUAAAGCAUAAGAGUGUA